RNAcentral lists this long non-coding RNA (1325 nucleotides) under Homo sapiens (human). Its description in RNAcentral is "HSALNT0380338". The record is from RNAcentral. Lineage: Eukaryota; Metazoa; Chordata; Mammalia; Primates; Hominidae.
UAAGGGAAUAAAAGGCCACCUGGGCUGCAACGCAACUUGCUCGAAUCCUUUUUCCGGAAUGUGGAAUCUUUCUUAUUUUCCUUUUCACAGUAGAUCUUCUUGCUUCUCACUUUUUGGGUUCGGAUUUCCGUUAAAAGCUGUAACACUGGGAGAGUCUGCGGCUUCACUCCUAAAUCAGGAAGACCACGAACUCCUCGAGAGAAGCGAACUCUGGACGUGACACUUUUAGGAGCUGUAACACGGCAAAGGUCUGUGGCUUCAUUCCUAACGUCAGAGAGACAACAAACUCACCGGGAAAAAUGAACAACUCCGGACCCGCCACCCUUAGGAGCUGUAACACGGCCAGGGUCUGCGGCUUCACUUCCGAAGUAAGCAAGACCACGAACCCACCAGAAGGAAGAAAUUCCGGACACAUGUGAAAGGAACAAACGACUGACACACCAUUUUUAAGAACCGCAACACUCACUGCGAGGGUUCGUGGCUUCGUUCUUGAAGUCUGUGAACCCAAGAACCCUCCGCAAGGAACCAGUUCCAGGCCCACGGCUAGACUUUCUUAUUCAGCAUACCGGGGGCAGGGAAAAAAGAGAUACUCAAUAUUUAUAUCUUUAAGAAUGUUUAAACGCUGGUAUAGCUGAAAUUGGGAACCAACGUCUUGAAACCCACUGUUCUAAUAAAAAACAGAUGGAUGCAAAAGGACAAUGCGUUGACACUCCAAGUCGACCUGGUGGUGGUCACUGUGCCCUGGCAGGUUUUAUUACUGAACGUGGAAUGAGCCCAGCAAACCUGACCACUUGGGUGCGCUGUGCAUUCCUGUUGCUGGGUGGUUGACUGCCAGUUAACCCUGCCCAGCUUUUUCAGUUUCACAGCGUUAGAAUUCCCGAUUUUUAGUGGUGCACACCAAGCAUUGUAUUGACUGUUUCCCAGAAUCCGUUGCAGUUUGGAGCUUUGAGAACUGAACUGAUGGGCAACACCAAAAACAAUCCAAGCCUAAACGCAGCAGAAUACUGACACACAGGAUGAGCAACAGACACCUGUUGUACACCAGACCUGGAGGGCCCGGAGACAUGGAAGAGAGCCCCUCUGUUGAGAAGGCACCAUCUAAGGUGGCCCGUGGGGUCCAGCCCACCACAGCAGGCACAGUGCUCGCAAAGCCACGAUGGAAGACCCAGAAAAUUGCGGCAAAGGAUAAUUACAACUUUGUAACGAAAAGCAAAAACAAGAAAGAAAAAGCACCCUCAGAGGCAGAACUCUUGUGACCCCCAAAUCCAUUAGCACUCGUCUCUCAUGAAAGGCUGGUCACGAAUGCCUGCAUUCUUUUGAACUGA